AUUUUUAUAUUGUUCAUAUAUUAAAAAAUUAAUUUUUAUUGUAAUGAAAUAUAUGGUAUUAUAAUUUUCUGCUUUUAUACACUGUGUAUAUGAUGAUAGCCAUUUCAGAUCCAAAUGCAUAUCAGUUUUAGAAUGGUGGAAAUUUUAAACAUAAUAUCAACAUGUUUAAAAUUAUACAUGUGCAACACCAUAAAUGAAAUCUAUGAAAAGGUAAUAGAGAUGAAAUCAAUAAGCACCAAAUUUCAAGUGGAAAAACAGUUUAUUAUAGCUUUGUGGAAUACUUUUGACUUAAAGAAGUCAUUUUCAACAUUUACAAAUCAAUAGAACAGAAUACAUAACAUUUCCAAACAAGAAGCGUAGAUGGAAU
RNAcentral lists this long non-coding RNA (367 nucleotides) under Androctonus crassicauda. The record is from RNAcentral. Lineage: Eukaryota; Metazoa; Arthropoda; Arachnida; Scorpiones; Buthidae.